GAGGAACAAAUGCACUUGGAAAUGCAAGAUAAGAAAACUUGAGGUUCUCCAAUUGAAUCAUGAAGAACACUUUGAGAAUGAAUUGAUAUGAUGAUGAACCACCGAGAAAGACCUCCGUAUACAAAUGAACGAUGCAACGAUAUGAAGGUAGACAAGAAUAAGAUUAUGACCUUGCCAGGAUUUAAAUGAAGCUUCACAAAGAGAUUCUUGAGAAAACUUGGAACUCCAGAAAAGAAAA
RNAcentral lists this long non-coding RNA (238 nucleotides) under Hordeum vulgare. RNAcentral's name for it is "long non-coding RNA (HVUL_LNC003283)". The record is from RNAcentral. Lineage: Eukaryota; Viridiplantae; Streptophyta; Magnoliopsida; Poales; Poaceae.